This 794-nucleotide ribosomal RNA is filed under the name Sitophilus zeamais (maize weevil). RNAcentral describes it as "eukaryotic LSU rRNA". It matches the Rfam family "Eukaryotic large subunit ribosomal RNA", at positions 390 to 948 of the family's 3401-position model. Lineage: Eukaryota; Metazoa; Arthropoda; Insecta; Coleoptera; Curculionidae. The record is from RNAcentral.
UAAGAGUANGUGAAACCGUUUAGGGGUAAACCUGAGAAACCCGAAAGGUCGAAGGGAGAAAUUCAUUCGCGUUUCGUCAUCGGCGUUCGGCGAUCGAGUGACGGGGGACGUUCGCGUUCUCCGCGCCUUUCGUUGUCCGAUCCGGAGACGAACGCGUGCACUUUUCUCCUGGUAGGACGUCGCAAUCCGUCGAGUGUCGGUCUAAGGCUCGCGGUGGAGCCCGUAGAUGUCGUCUCACGACGAUAUUUGCGGACCCGCGUGUUCCCGGCCGACUCGCUCGACGGUAUACGAAAGGUUUAAGGCCGCUCCUUAGAGCGUUCGACUCGCAGCAAGCGCGUCAGAUGUCGUCGGUGAUCGGACCUAGUGCCGGUCCCGACCUCUGGCGACUGUUGGCCGCGAAGUUCUCGAACAGACCUUAUCAAAACCGAUCUGCGACGCUAUAGCUUUGGGUACUUUCAGGACCCGUCUUGAAACACGGACCAAGGAGUCUAGCAUGUGCGCGAGUCAUUGGGAAUUACUAAACCUAAAGGCGCAAUGAAAGUAAAAGUUCGUCUCGCACGGACCGAGGGAAGAUGGGCGGUCCUUAGUGGCCGCUCCGCAUUCCCGGGGCGUCUCGUUCUCAUCGCGAGAAGAGGCGCACCAAGAGCGUACACGCUGGGACCCGAAAGAUGGUGAACUAUGCCUGGUCAGGACGAAGUCAGGGGAAACCCUGAUGGAGGUCCGUAGCGAUUCUGACGUGCAAAUCGAUCGUCGGAACUGGGUAUAGGGGCGAAAGACUAAUCGAACCAUCUAGU